CUGUGGACUACAUCUCCCUUGAUGCUCUGUCAGUAUUAUGGCUGUAAGAACAUUAUAGGAGAUGCAUUCCACAACAUCUGGAAUGCCGAAGGUUGCCUAUCCCUGCAUUAGAGUCUACAAUCUAUUUGCCUUGUCCACUGUAGUACCCAAUGGCGUACUGGGUUAAAACUUGUUAGCACUUUCCGCUUUAUUGUGGAAUUCGUCCACCAGGCUGCAUUCAUGAACAAACUCCAACAGGAGAAUCCAAGCUGAAGCAGGAUUGUACCCACCAGCUGAAAGACUGAGCCACAUGGCUUUCGUACAAACAGACAGAAUCACUCUUCCAGACUCUGCGACACGAAGACCAACGGCCAAGAAGUAGAAGAAUGAAUGCUUGCUGCUGCUGGGGUUGAAGACAUGUUUAUCUAAUAACUGGUUUGGCCAACUCUUGCUGGUUUUGCCAGGCUUUUACAAAAUGAUUACAUCAUGUAGCUAAACCCACACAAGCUUUCACUGAAUGGAAUACGAGUAUCAAAGAGCCAUACAUAUUUAAACAGUGUCUCAUAUAAGUAUCUAUUGCAGUCCUACAGCUUUCAAGGAACCAAUGAAAUGUCCUCCCAGCUUACAAAAACCCGAGAUGUUACUCAUUAUUUCCGCCCUGUGCUGGAUGUUUCAUCUCAAAACCUGCCAAAGAAUACAUCUUCCUCUUACGUCAGUUUUACAAGUUAUCCAGUCUGCGUUUGACCUACUCUAGUUAAAAUGUAAAACAGAAGGAGUUACAGGAGCAGUGGUGGCAUUUUAGAUCCAUGGUUAGUCAUCUGUCCACCCCAGAACAAAAUGCAAGAAAAGCAGUUUUUAUCACAGAGAGAUG
Non-coding RNA from Pelobates cultripes (western spadefoot toad), 850 nucleotides. NCBI's taxonomy places the organism in Eukaryota, Metazoa, Chordata, Amphibia, Anura, Pelobatidae. The record is from the annotation of a GenBank genome assembly.